This 82-nucleotide transfer RNA is filed under the name Candidatus Dormiibacterota bacterium. Its description in RNAcentral is "tRNA-Tyr". It matches the Rfam family "tRNA". From Rfam's summary of the family: Transfer RNA (tRNA) molecules are approximately 80 nucleotides in length. Lineage: Bacteria; Bacillati; Candidatus Dormiibacterota. RNAcentral also lists the same sequence under 1 other name. The record is from RNAcentral.
GGGCGGGUACCGAAGUGGUCAAACGGGGCUGACUGUAAAUCAGCUGGCUACGCCUUCAGAGGUUCGAAUCCUCUCCCGCCCA